GGGGCAGCAGUAGGGAAUCUUCCGCAAUGGGCGAAAGCCUGACGGAGCAACGCCGCGUGAGUGAUGAAGGUCUUCGGAUCGUAAAACUCUGUUAUUAGGGAAGAACAUAUGUGUAAGUAACUGUGCACAUCUUGACGGUACCUAAUCAGAAAGCCACGGCUAACUACGUGCCAGCAGCCGCGGUAAUACGUAGGUGGCAAGCGUUAUCCGGAAUUAUUGGGCGUAAAGCGCGCGUAGGCGGUUUUUUAAGUCUGAUGUGAAAGCCCACGGCUCAACCGUGGAGGGUCAUUGGGAAACUGGAAAACUUGAGUGCAGAAGAGGAAAGUGGAAUUUCAUGUGUAGCGGUGAAAUGCGCAGAGAUAUGGGAGGAACACCAGUUGGCGGAAGCGACUUUUCUGGUCUGUAACUGACGCUGAUGUGCGAAACGUGGGGGAUCCAAACGGAAUUAGAAACCCUGGUAAUUCCA
RNAcentral lists this ribosomal RNA (466 nucleotides) under Staphylococcus aureus. RNAcentral's name for it is "bacterial SSU rRNA". It matches the Rfam family "Bacterial small subunit ribosomal RNA", at positions 345 to 798 of the family's 1533-position model. The record is from RNAcentral. Lineage: Bacteria; Bacillati; Bacillota; Bacilli; Caryophanales; Staphylococcaceae.